Long non-coding RNA from Fundulus heteroclitus (mummichog), 1152 nucleotides. RefSeq lists it as uncharacterized. NCBI's taxonomy places the organism in Eukaryota, Metazoa, Chordata, Actinopteri, Cyprinodontiformes, Fundulidae. The record is from RefSeq and is a predicted model, not a curated record. The transcript is spliced from 3 exons.
GGGAGGUGCAAGGAAGGUUCCCCACAAGAACAGUCACAGCAACCGCUCAAAGUGGCUUACACUAGAACCACAAUCACCCAAUCACGCAGAUUUAAGUGCCUUGGCCAGAGGCACAUCAGAAUGUGACCAGAGAAAGCUGGAAUCAACCCCACAACGUUCCGAUCGCAAGACGAUUCCCCCACCCACUGAGCCAGUUGCCUGAAAAACAAGUUAAGAGGAUCUGAUGGCAGAAACUCCCCCGAAAGAAGAGGGUUCCCUCUGCAGAGACUUUGCAUCUUGCUGUUUGUCUUUCUGGUCCAGCUGUUGUCAGAUACGACGUGCGCCAAGGAACACCAAAGAUCCUGUCAUCGUCACCCCGCAGGCCCAAACUUCGGUCACCGUGAAUGCUAAUCCAGUCAUGACGGUUAAUCAAAACUCUUUUAAUCAAAACUCUGUUCCUUCUCCUGUUGGUGUUAACACCUAAUAAAACCUGUGCAGACAACCUGUCGAAAUUUGAGUCCCUCAAGAUCAUACUGAUGCAUAGUUGGACUCUUUACUUUUGUCAAAAUGAGGUGAGAUCUUUUCAUAUUUCCAUGCACAGAUGAUCAGACUCAAAAUAAAACAAUAAAGUGUUCACAUCCUGCGGCUGUAGUGACUAAAAAGGACACCCAGCAGAGCAAUGCAUUAAUUCUCUCUCUUAUCUUGCACACCUGAAAUAAUUAUGGUAAUAAUUAUGUUUAAUACCAUGAUUAUUAUCAUUGAUUUAAAUGAAAAGGAAGUGAUUCUUUGUGUUGUUGAUUAAAGUGAAGAGAAGGGGAUUCUGUUAGCUGUUGAUUAACAUAGGUGGAUGGUUUUGUUGAUUCAGGAUACAUUGUUUCUGAUUAUGAAGAUCUCGAGAGAACCUAUUAACUUCUGUGUAUGAAGCAAUAUAAUCAAUAAAUUGCCAAUAAUGCAGUAUGAUAUAAAAUUGAUUGUGAUGAAUAAAAAGAUAUUGUGAUUGAAAGAAGAGGUAAGACACCCGAGGAGUGGCCAGCUAUAAAGAAGUGUGGAGCAAAGGUAGACAUAAAAAGGCCUGUGUGUGAAGGCAUAGCCCAGAGUUAGAAAUUGUGAAUUUAGGAGGGGAAAGAGAACAUGGUUGCAAAACUAACCAAUGGACAAAAAAAAAAAAAAAAA